Long non-coding RNA from Camelus dromedarius (Arabian camel), 739 nucleotides. RefSeq lists it as uncharacterized. NCBI's taxonomy places the organism in Eukaryota, Metazoa, Chordata, Mammalia, Artiodactyla, Camelidae. The record is from RefSeq and is a predicted model, not a curated record. The transcript has 2 exons.
UCCAAUCACCAGGAGCGCCAGGCCUUGCCCCGGGCCGACAGGAGAGCCUCGGCCCUGAGAGGAGGCGGGGACGGGACGCUGCCGCCGCCUUGUCACUGUGGAGGAUCCUGGAGGAGCCCGGCGGGGAGACUGGGGCCUGUUAGCGAAGCCAGGCCGCAUGAAGGCAAAGGCUUGAGCUGGAAGAAGGAGCAGACUGAGUUCUGACGACACCACCGGAGCCCUGGAUCCAGCCGCGCCUGAAGCUGGGCCUGCGCUGCCGAGACCGCAGGUCAGGAGCGCACCAACCGCCCCGCUUUUUCCUGAGCAAAUCUGAGCACGCACGGGGUAGCAGGAGAAGGGGAAGGACUCUAAGCUCUGGAUGAAAAUCUGCUAAAUUUCCCACGUUGCUGAUGCUUGGCACUGUCCAGGGUCCAGGUCUGCAGCUUCGACCCAGAGAAUCAUGCUCCGCCCCUGGCAGAGACGGCGACCCAUGGGCACAGCACAGGCUCGGACCCGGGUUCCCUGGUAGGUGAGCCGCCCUUCUGCGUCAUGGAGAUGACAGUCACAGCUCAGCCGUGACAGGACUGGGACCCCUCACCCACUGCACCCACCCGGGGACAGGUUUGGGAGCUGGACCAUCUCAGUAUGACAGUUCUGUUCAAGGUCAUGCUCAGCCCAGCUCCCAGAAUGCUCCUGGCAGAGCCUGCAGAACUGAGAAAAGAGUUUCUGCAUGAAUUAAAAAUGUAUUAAGGCUUUGAAA